AACUGAAGAGUUUGAUCAUGGCUCAGAUUGAACGCUGGCGGCAGGCUUAACACAUGCAAGUCGAGCGGGGGAAGGUAGCUUGCUACUGGACCUAGCGGCGGACGGUGAGUAUGCUUAGGAUCUG
RNAcentral lists this ribosomal RNA (124 nucleotides) under Acinetobacter baumannii ABNIH4. RNAcentral describes it as "partial 16S ribosomal RNA". It matches the Rfam family "Bacterial small subunit ribosomal RNA", at positions 1 to 128 of the family's 1533-position model. The record is from RNAcentral. Lineage: Bacteria; Pseudomonadati; Pseudomonadota; Gammaproteobacteria; Moraxellales; Moraxellaceae.